GAUGAACGCUGGCGGCGUGCCUAAUACAUGCAGGUCGAGCGAACAGACGAGGAGCUUGCUCCUCUGACGUUAGCGGCGGACGGGUGAGUAACACGUGGAUAACCUACCUAUAAGACUGGGAUAACUUCGGGAAACCGGAGCUAAUACCGGAUAACAUGUUGAACCGCAUGGUUUAACAGUGAAAGACGGUCUUGCUGUCACUUAUAGAUGGAUCCGCGCCGCAUUAGCUAGUUGGUAAGGUAACGGCUUACCAAGGCAACGAUGCGUAGCCGACCUGAGAGGGUGAUCGGCCACACUGGAACUGAGACACGGUCCAGACUCCUACGGGAGGCAGCAGUAGGGAAUCUUCCGCAAUGGGCGAAAGCCUGACGGAGCAACGCCGCGUGAGUGAAGAAGGUCUUCGGAUCGUAAAACUCUGUUAUUAGGGAAGAACAAAUGUGUAAGUAACUAUGCACGUCUUGACGGUACCUAAUCAGAAAGCCACGGCUAACUACGUG
Molecule: ribosomal RNA, 497 nt
Filed under: uncultured bacterium
Lineage: Bacteria
Description: partial 16S ribosomal RNA
Rfam family: Bacterial small subunit ribosomal RNA
Source: RNAcentral